This 774-nucleotide ribosomal RNA is filed under the name uncultured Neocallimastigales. RNAcentral describes it as "partial large subunit ribosomal RNA". It matches the Rfam family "Eukaryotic large subunit ribosomal RNA", at positions 22 to 645 of the family's 3401-position model. The record is from RNAcentral. Lineage: Eukaryota; Fungi; Neocallimastigomycota; Neocallimastigomycetes; Neocallimastigales.
GUACACGCUGUGACUAGCAUAUCAAUAAGCGGAGGAAAAGAAACUAACAAGGAUUCCCCUAGUAACGGCGAGUGAAGCGGGAAGAGCUCAAAUUUGAAAUCUUGAAAGGUCACCUUUCACGAAUUGUAGUUUAAAGAAGUGUUUUCUGUUACGAUCGUAAUAUAAGUUCUUUGGAAUAGGACAUCACAGAGGGUGAGAAUCCCGUCUAUGAUUGCGAUUUGUAGCUUUGUGAUACACUUUCAAAGAGUCGGGUUGUUUGGGAAUGCAGCCCAAAACGGGAGGUAAAUUUCUUCUAAGGCUAAAUAUUGGCGAGAGACCGAUAGCGAACAAGUACCGUGAGGGAAAGAUGAAAAGAACUUUGAAAAGAGAGUUAAAUAGUACGUGAAAUUGUCAAAAGGGAAGCAGUUUAACACCAGUGUUGUUUUCUGAAAAUCAACCUCUGUUAGCUUUAUGCACGUUUGUUUAGACCUAAUCAGCUAUCUUGUAUGUUCUAUUGUUUGCAGUGGUGCACUUUUCAGUUUACAGGUCAACAUCAGUUUUUUCUUACCGUAAAAAAGGUUAAAGAAAGGUAGCUCAUGGCUCCGGUCGUGAGUGUUAUAGUCUUUUUCCUAUGCGGUAGGAGAGACUGAGGUCUGCAGUGUAGGCUAUUUGGCUAGAUACUCAGGUGCUAUGUGAUACCAUUUCAUAAACAACUUGUUGAUUAUGUUUUGUCUAUUGCAUACUCGCUUGUACUAUCAUACCUACGCUUAGGAUGUUGACGCAUGAGAUAUACGC